This 301-nucleotide ribosomal RNA is filed under the name uncultured bacterium. RNAcentral's name for it is "partial 16S ribosomal RNA". It matches the Rfam family "Bacterial small subunit ribosomal RNA", at positions 509 to 807 of the family's 1533-position model. The record is from RNAcentral.
CAGCCGCCGCGGGAAUACGGAGGGAGCAAGCGUUAAUCGGAAUUACUGGGCGUAAGGCGUGCGUAGGCGGUUCGUUAAGUCUGUUGUGAAAGCCCCGGGCUCAACCUGGGAAUGGCAAUGGAUACUGGCGAGCUAGAGUGUGUCAGAGGAUGGUGGAAUUCCCGGUGUAGCGGUGAAAUGCGUAGAGAUCGGGAGGAACAUCAGUGGCGAAGGCGGCCAUCUGGGACAACACUGACGCUGAGGCACGAAAGCGUGGGGAGCAAACAGGAUUAGAUACCCCAGUAGUCCCUGUCUCUUAUAC